This 17973-nucleotide long non-coding RNA is filed under the name Homo sapiens (human). RNAcentral describes it as "non-protein coding LINC01226:7". The record is from RNAcentral. Lineage: Eukaryota; Metazoa; Chordata; Mammalia; Primates; Hominidae.
ACACAAGCUAUCGCUGACUGCCGGUGCAUGUUGGAAAUGGGCCACAGGGCUGGGCAUGAUAUGAGCUGCCUGGACAUUGGAGGGGGCUUCCCCGGAAUGGAGGGCUCCGGGCCCAAGUUUGAGGAGGUGAGCUGGUACGGGCGCUGGGGGUGUUCAGGGAGGUCCGCAUGUGUGCCCAGGCAUGGGUGUGUGUGGGGAGUCUGUGUUCAUGCAUGUACCUCUGUGUGUUUAGGUCUCUCUGGUGUAUCUCUGUGCUCUGUGUGCACAGGUGGGUAUGUGUGUAUGUGCAUGUCUUGGCUUUGAUAUCCCCCAAAAGCAGACUCUGAGACAAACACUUGGAUACAAGUAGUUUUUUUGGAGAUGAUCCGUGGAAGCGCCAAUGAGGAAGUCAGGAAAGAGAGAUAGAAGGGAGAAAAGUCAAAAGAAAAUUCAUCUAUGAGCUGGUUACCACUGUGGGCCGCUGCACCAGUCCCCCUGGGGACAAUGUAGAACCUCAGAAUCAUCCCACUAGAGGACAUGGGGCUGGUCCUUUAUUCACCAACUCCUGUCCUUCUUUGGUUGAAGGCUGUGGUCUGGGGGUGUUAAUUUCCUCACAUUCCAGCUAGUUUCCGAGGGUGCUGGAGAAAGCCCACAGAAUGAGAAGCAAAGGGAGGCAGGCGCUGGAGGCUGGAAAUCAUUUUGCACGGGCAGAUGAGCUCAGGUAGGCUGAGGGGAGGUGGCACAGGGUGUCCACUGCAGCUGCAGCAAGGUGUCUGGGGGCUGUGCCUCUCUGUGUGUCUGUGUGUCUGUAUGUGUAUAUGUUUUCCUGUAGAAUGUAGAAUUCUUGUUAGCAUCACCAAUACAGUUACAGUUACAGUUGGGAGUUUACAUUCCCUGGGUCCACAAGACACUCGCCUUCUUACGGUGCAUCAGAUUAAAUUGCUGCACCUUUGGACUUCUCAGGGAGCCUGGUGGCCAGCAACCCCACACAAGUGACCUCCUGUCUCUCAACUUCUGUUUCCUCUUUGGUAAACAGGGAUAAUUCUAAUGCCUACCUGCAGGGUGCCUCGGGGAUGAAAGGACUGAUGCAGGUAAGGCGUUGGCACAGGCGCUGGCACAUCAACACGUGCUGGAUGAGUUAACCUCUUCCUGCUGUCCCUCCACCCCAUUCCAGUUGGCGAGAGUGAUCAGUGCUGCCCUGGCCCAGGACCUCCCUGAGGAGCGUGGUGUCAAGGUCAUCGCAGAGCCUGGCUGCUUCUAUGUGGAGUCUGUCUGCAUGGCCGCUGUCAACAUCAUUGCCAAGAGGGCUGUGCUGGAGCCCGCACCUGUGAGGUGGAAGGGGAUGCUUUUAUGAUCACUUCCUGAAAGAGAGGCUCACAGAACUGAACUGAUGUGCUUGUCAUCACACAGUGGAGGACUGUCUAACACCAAGUCUCUCAUUCCCUUGGUGGCCAGCCCCUCUCAGACCUCAGCAAGUCCCUCUGGGCCUUCAUGGGAGAGCAGUGUCCAAGGAAUGCGGUGUCACGCUUGCGGCUCUGCCAAGGGCUUCUUCUUCGGGCUCUGCCUCUAGCUGCUUCUGACAGAGGCGGAUUCAUCAUGAAGCAAACGCGGCUGAACCCCCCAGUGGUCUUCAUUCUUCUCCAACCCCUUUCAAGACCCAGGGAUGGGCUCAGCAAUUCUGUUUUAAUAAUUUUGCAUUCUGUCCCUUAAAUCAUAAAGAGAGCCCCCAAUCUGUAAAGCUUCUGAUCCCACACAACCUCUCAGGGCUCCAGGGUCCUGAGGAGGAUGGCCAGGUCACUGUGGGCCUGUGGUGGAGCCAGCGGGCACCCAGGGCUUCCUGGUGGGCCAGGUCCCUGGUCAUAGACUGAGCCAGCCAGCAUCAGCCUCCGAUCUCCAGGCCCCUGCGGUGAGGGCCCCAAUGCCCCUGAUAAGGCUCUGCUCCUAAAGGGCUGUUGGCCUUGAACAAGCUGCUCUCCUGCCUCAGUUUCCACUUCAGGAUGGAGACAUGAAUGAGAGAAGUGUCCCUGAAACUCCUGAUGGCUUUCCAUUUCCUGGUUUCCUGUCUUUCCUGAGGCUGAAUUCUUCGCCUGCUUUCUCUGAGAUCCCUCACUUUCCUGCCAAGAAAUUUCCUCUUUAGUCUGUUCAGAGUGAAGUGCAAAUCAAAAUAAAAAAGUGCAAGUUCAAAGUGCAAUCAAAACAAACAAACAAACUUUGGCUAAGGCAAAACCAAACCAAAACAAAACAACCCAACUAUCUCUUUUAGUAGAGUUUUGACGCUGCAGCAUGUGUUGAAUAGAGCCCAUGUGAGUUAGGCUGCCCAGGGCCUGAGUGACAUUGCGUACUGUGGGGAGUGUGUGCUUUUGUUCAAGCGGUGGCUCUCAGGAAGCCAGGAGGAGAUUUGGACAAAAGUUGGAAAGGUUGGAAGAAUAUGUAAGCUUGGACUGACAUGGCUGAUUGGGUUUGGGCCAGUUUGAGCUGGUUUUAUCUGGUUGGAUCCAAUACAGUACGGACUCGGGAGGCCAAGGAAGGUCUUGGCAAGUUUGGACCAGUUUUUGCCAUUUGAGCUGACUUGGGCUGGCUUGAGCUGGUUGCUCAUCACAGUGGCAAAAAAGAAGAACCCUUGGGCAGGGGUGUUCAGGGUCAGGAGUGGAGGAAGGGAAGCUAUGCUCAUUGUUCGUGGCACUUGGUAGAGCUGUGCAUCUUUACAAAAGCAAUUUACAGUACAGGCACCCCUCAUUUUCUUGCACUUGCUUUGUUGCACCUGCAGAUAUUUGUUGUGUUUUUGUUUUGUUUUGUUUUGUUUUACAAAUUGAAUAUUUUGGCAAAAGUUUGUGGCAACCCCUUGUUGAGCAAGUGUACUGACACCUUUUUCCCUAAAGCAUGUGCUCACUUUGUGUCUCUGUGUCAUGUUUUGGUAAUUUUUACAAUAUUUCAAACUCACUCUUUUCUUUCUUUUUUUCUGUCUCUCUUUCUUUCUUUUCCUUCCUUCCUUCCUCCUUUCUCCUUUCCUUUCCUUUCCUUUCCUUUCCUUUCCUUUCCUUUCCCUUUCGGGUCUAGCUUUGUUACCCAGGCUGCAGUAUGGUGAUGCAAUCUUGGCUCACCCCAACCUCUGCCCAGGUUCAACUGAUUCUCGUGUCUUUGCCUCCCAAGUAGCUGGGACAACAGGUGCAAGGCACCACGCCCAGGUAAUUUUUUUUUUUUUUUUGUAUUUUUAUUAGAGAUGGGGUUUCGCCAUGUUGGCCAGGCUGGUCUCGAACUCCUGACCUCAAGCGAUCUGCCCAUUUCAGUCUCCCAAAGUGCUGGGAUUACAGGUGUGCGCCACCACACCCAGCCCAAACUUUUUCAUUUCUACUGUAUCUGUUAUGGUGAUCUGUGAUCACUCAUGUUUGAUGUUUCUAUUGUAAUUGUUUUGGGGUGCCACAAAUUGCACCCAUAUAAGACAGAGAACUUAAGAAAUAUUGCAUGUGUUCUAACUACUACAUCAAUCAGUGGUUCCUCUACUCCUCUCUCCUUCUCCUCAGGCCUCUCAAUUCCCUGAGACCCAACAAUAUUAAAAUUAGGCCAAUGAAUAACCCUAAAAUGGUCUCUACAUGUUUAAGUGAAAAUGUCACACAUCCCUUGCUCUAAAUCAAAAGCUAGAAAUAUUAAACUUAGUGAGGUAAGUGUAUUGAAAGCCAAAAUAGGCCGAAAGGUAGGCCUCUUAUACCUAACAGCGUAGUUGUGACUGCAAAGGAAAAGUUAUCCUCAGCCUUUCAUGUGUAUUGGCUUAUUCAGUCCUCAUAACAACCCUACCAAGUAGCAUGUGUUAGCCUCACCAUUUGGCAGAGGAAAAUGGAAGCACAGAAAGGUCAAGUACUUGCCCAGAUCAGCAGCAGAACAGGCUCAAAGGUUGGCAGUCUGGUUGCAGAGUCCAUGAACUUCACUACCACACUCCACAGCAGUUGUGAGACCAUGGGCAAGCCAUCUAAACUUUUGAACUUUAAUAUCUUCAUCCAUAAAAUGGGGACGAUAAUACCCUGCCCCAUUGCCCAGUGAGUGUGUACACCCUUAACUCGGUGCAUAGGCUUGGGUUGGCUUGAUCCGGUCUCAUUCAUUUCUCCCCACCUGACCCUACACUUGAGUCAGAGUAUCUCAUGUUGGCUGAGCUUGAAGUAUGCAGGAGCACACCCCAGAAAGGCCAGGGCACAAGCCCUGCUUGGGGUGGAGCAGGGAGGGCCUGCUCUGCCCCACUGGGGUGUUCUUAGGUGGAAGUGGGUGUGGGAUGGUCCCUCUGGGAGAACUCUCUCCCUCCAGCCUCCCUGCAGAGUCACCCAGGGAACUGAAUCACAGCACAAGUGAAAUGGGAAAAGUUCCCUUAUCCCCCUCGCAGGGCCUGCAAUGGGGGUGUGGCUCGCUUCUUUGGUACCCUGCUGCUCAAACCUCUAGGGGGAGCAUGCAGAUGGGCAGGUUGUGGGGCUUCAACCCCACGGCAGUGUCUAGGGGUGAAUGCUUACAGUUCCUGAAGCCCCAAUGGGUGUGUGUUACAGAGCGCUCUUUUAGUUUUGCUAUCUGUAGGCAGCUUGUGUUAAUCAGCUCGAUUAGAUCCUCUGCCUUAUCACAAGGACAGAGGGCUUUCUGUAUCCCAGGGUUUUUGCCUUGGUGUACUGGAGGAAUCAGAUCACACGUGGGCUUAGGGACCGAGUGCAAGUUUUUAUUGAGUGGAAGUAGCUCUCAGCAGAUGGGGGAGCCAGAAGGGAGAUGGAGUGGGAAGGUGAACUAUCAAGAUAAAAUCAGUCUACUACUCCAUAACAGAGGUAAGGAAGAGUAUGCAUGGAAUACAGGACAUCCUUUAGAGCAUCUCUUAGUAUUACCAUGCCCUUUGAUUAAGGUCAAUGGGAAACUACAAUAGCGCAAUCCAGGCAGGACUACAAAUAGCCCAGACCCCUCAGGAAUGAAGGUUUGGGUCACUCCACCAGGAAAAAAACCACAACCUGCUGAGGUGCUUGCUGAAGGCAAAGGGAAUACAGAAUGGGUAGUAGAAGAAGGUAAUCAUCAAUACCACCUAUGACCAUGUGACCAGCUGCAGAAAUGCGGACUGUAACUAUCAUGAGUAUUUCCUCCUUCUUUGGCUAAAAACAUGUUUGUGCAUGUAUACACUUGUACGAAGAAAAUAUAUCCAUUUUAUUUCCUUUUCCUUUAUCAUGUGACAUAAGAUUUACUGACUUCAUAUCAACAUUUAAGUAUUAUUAACUUUAUGUAAUAAUAUUUGGGUUGGGGAUUGGUGGGUUUCCAGUUGUACCAAGGAUAGUUGUAUUAUUUUAGGCAUAAUUAUGACCUUAUUAUUGUCUUUAUUUGAAGAUUAUGUAUGAUCUCAGGAGAUGUGUAUGGGUUCAGCUUGACAAGGGGUGGACUUACCAUGGUUAAUACUGAGUGUCAACUUGAUUGGAUUAAAGAUGCAAAGUAUUGAUCCUGGGUGUGUCUGUGAGGGUGUUGCCAAAGAAGAUUAACAUUUGGGUCAGCGGGCUGGAGAAGGCAGACCCACCCUUAAUCUGGUGGGCACCAUCUAAUCAGCUGCCAGCGAAUAUACAGCAGGAAGAAAAAGGUGAAAAGGCAAGACUGGCCUAGCCUCCCAGCCUACAUCUUUCUCCCAUGCUGGAUGCUUCCUGCCCUUGAACAUCAGACUCCAAGUUCUUCAGUUUUGAGACUUGGACUGGCUCUCCUUGCUCCUCAAGCUUGCAGACAGCCUAUUGUGGGACCUUGUGAUCAUGUUUUAGCACCUCUUACGAAUGAGUGUCUGAGCAGCCAAAAAAUAAAUAAUGAAUCAUCCAGGCAAAGGGGAAGAAAAAUGGACUUGGCCAGAGAUGGGGAAGAACGUACGCAAAAAGAUGAGGUCGUUCAGAUUGGAAGUUGGAUUGGAGGGCGGACCAAAGGAGAAGCUGCUGAAGUAGAUGUUAAAGAUGGAGAGAAGUGGACGGCAGAGACAUAGAGGAGGAAAAGUCAGCAAGACCCGAGAUGUGUAUGGAGAGUUAGAGUGUGGGAAGUGUGACAUGUAACUGAAUCGGAUGAUGGCAACUUUCACUGGGCAGUGAAAGGUCAGGUUGGUGGUAAAAGUCAUGAGUUGACUUUGGGGCAUCUUGAUAUAGUCACUUCCAAUAUCAUGUGUUUCAACAAGCCCGUGUUCCUUCCUGGUCAGUUCCCCCAGCUAGAGUGUGUUUUACAUCCCGCAGCAUUGUAUGAGAACUGCUAGAAUAUCACUCACCACUUCCCAUAGAGAUUCUGUUUGUUCAUCUGCUUGUCCCACUGUGUGCCUUACACAUAGUAGGUGCUCUUGGAAUGUGUGUGAGAUGGAUUAACAUGAGAAGUGCUUCUCUGCAUGAUUUCACCAUUGAAGUGUUGAAAGCAACUAGCACUCCUCCUUCCUGACCUCCAGGCUUCCACCCAGCUGUGGGGACUGCUGUGGUGGAAGGGCCUAGUCUGAAUCUGGACAGGGGAGGUGCCUGCAAAUAUUUUCGUGCCUGCAAAUAUUUUUGUGCCUCGGGACAGAUGGAUGUCCAGUUUACUGUCUGCUUCCUCAGUGGUUCUAGAGCUGCUCAGUCGCAGGCUCCAGAUGUCUGCUUCAGAAUUCAAGAACACCUUCCUGAGCUGGGAAACAGAUCCAAGGAAAUAUCAGCCAGAGGCUUCAUUUUAUCAUCUGUGGAAAUGCAAGAUGUUAGAGCACCUAGGAGGGUCUUAACGUGCAAAACACUGUCUUGAGGCUGCCUGCAGAACAGAGGGUCAUCUGCUUUCAUUAGAUUCUCAAGGGAGCCUCAACAGGCUACACCUGAACCCCAGGUUUGGGGCAUCUCUCCAGCCCUCCCAGCUCUGACAUCAUCAUCACCAUUAACAGCUGAAAUGUGUGAGGUGGUUGGGAUGUACCAACAACCCUCCCAAGAGUCCCAUAUCUACCUGACCUCAUUUGACCUUCACAGCAACCCAGUGACUCAGCUGCUAUUUGGCCCACGUUUUACAAACCUGAGUCAGUGUGCUUUACCUCAGUGACCCAAGAACCCAGGUGCUAGAGUCAGGCCUGCAUCCAAAUCAGGGGUGGGAUCAGUGGUGUGCCCUGAACAAAUCAUUAUCCUCUUUUUUGUUUUAUUUUUUGGAGACAGAGUCUCACUCUGUCACCCAGGCUGGAGUGCAGUGGUACAGUCUCAGCUCACAGCAACCACUCUCUCCUGGGUUCAAGUGAUUCUCCUGUCUCAGCCUCCCAAGUAGCUGGGGACUACAGGUGCGUGCCACCACGCUCAGCUAAUUUUUGUGUUUUAGUAGAGACAGGGUUUCACCAUGUUGCCUAGGCUGGUCUCGAACUCCUGAGCUCAGGUGAUCCACCUGCCCCGGCCUCCCAAAGCACUAGGAUUACAGGCGUGAGCACCCCACCCAGCUCAUUACCCUCUUUUAACUUCAAUUUUCUCAUCCACAAAAUGAGGGCAAUAAUCUCCUUUCUUCCCCACUAGCCAUGUUCAUGAAAGUACUUAUUUGCCCAUUUUAAAAUAUGUAGCAAUGUGCCCCAGAAAGGCUGGGGCAUGAGUCCUGCUUGGGGUGGAGCAGGGAAGGCCUGCUCUGCCCCACUGGGGUGUCCUCAGAUGAAAGUGGGUGUGGGCUGACUUUCUCUGAGCUCCCUGUGGAGUCACACGGGGAACUGGGUUGAGUCACAGCACAAGGGCACUCACAUGCCCCACCCCGAGGAGGUCCCUGUUCUGACAGAAGCCCUGAGCCGUGACUGUGGACUGACACCCACUGCCUCUGUGACCUUGGGUGGGUUACAUAACCUCCCACAUGAGAAGGAGGCGGAGGCACCCGGGCUUGUGGCCUGAGCUAACCUGGGUAGUGGGAGCCCUAUCUGUGAAUUGCCAAGGGACUGCCAUGGGGACUGGUGAGAACACAGCUCUGCAAGGCCCUUUUGAUUUGUUUUAACCUUUAACUUUUCAAAAAUUUCAAAUUUAAAGGAUGCAUGACACAGUUGAAGUUUAUCACAAAUGGACUCACGAGUGUGUCUCCUCAGCUCCCAACUCCCGGACUCCUGACCUCCAAGGCCAAUACUUCGAAUUCUGUUAGGCAUUUCUUCUAGCAUUUAUCUCAAUAGUUCCAAAUAACAAGCUCGUGAUGCGAUUUCACAACCCUUGCUUCAAAUGUCAUGUAUUGACUUUCCAUAUGAGGGAUGGUCCUUGUUUCUGUUAUAUCUCCCUGCUUCCUCUUUUCAGUUCUCUGAAUAUAUGUUUUAAAAAUUUAGGCUGGACGCGGUGGCUCACGCCUGUAAUCCUAGCCCUUUGGGAGGCCGGGGCAGGCAGAUCACCUGAGAUCAGGAGUUUGAGAGCAGCCUGGCCAACAUGGUGGAACCCCUUCCCUACAAAAAUACAAAAAUUAGCCGGGCAUGGUGGCAUACGCCUGUAGUCACAGCUACUCUUCAGGCUGAGGCAGGAGAAUUGCUUGAACCGGGAGGUGGAGGUUUCAGUGAGCCAAUAUUGCGCCAUUGCACUCUAGCCUGGGUGAUAGAGCCAGACUCUGUCUCAACAAAACCCAAGGGCGGAGGUUGCAGUGAGCCAAAAUCAUGCCACUGCACUCCAGCCUGGGCGACAGUGUGAGACCCUGUCUUAAAACAGAGCAAACAAACAAACAAAAAAAAAAAAAAGAGAGAAAGAAAAUGGGAGAAGGGGGCUGUUCCAUGAAAGGGCCUUAUAUCCAAAAUGACCCCCAAAUGCCAAAGGAGCUGGAAACCAGAAAAGGAGGGAAACAAAUUCAGUUUGGUCUAGAGUGUUUUACUGGGGGAGAACUUACAGGCAGAAGCGUAGUCUUGGGAUUUUAGCUGCAAGGCAGAAGAUAGAUCUCCACACUGCUACUCCCCAGACCCGGGGCUUCUGUACCAUAGGGAAAGGGCGUGUGUGUCCAGCAAGACAAUAAAAGGCAGCCUCCAGAACAGGCAAGAAUGUUACAUGCAUCAUGGCCUAUGAUUUGUGUGAUGACAUUCAGAUUGUCAUCUUCUUACACUAAGGAUAGUAAAUAAAGUAAGAAUCAGAAGGCAUUUGCAGGACUGGGGCUAAUUAGAAUACAACAUGGCACAUUCAUAUCCAAGAUGGAGUCACUUCCUGUCUCCACAGGGGCAUUGAAGGAAAGGUGACACUUACAAUUCUGAUUGGUGCUUAGUGACAUUAUGCAUAAAUAAAGAAAUAUGCAGUUAACAUAUAUAGGGUAAAAAGUUGUGGAAUACGUAGGGGUCUUAAGGUCUGGAGAGGGGUGAUUGAUUCUACCCUGCAUUUGUGCUUCAUCUGAUAGGCAAGGUUACAAUCAGUCAUGCCAGUGAAAUAUUUGACAGACUCCACCCUAGCAGGCGAGACUUCAGCUUUAGUUCAUAGGCCUUAUAUUAGUACCUGUUUGUCCAGCCUGCAGCCAUCUUGGGCUGUGUUUUAAAACUUUUUCUUUCAGAUUUUCUUUUUUCUAAAAAUCUUUCCCUUUUGGUUAAAUUCUCCAAAAGAGGACUUUGAAAACCAAAUAAUAUAUCUGAUGGAUUUGAAGAGGACAGGUCCCCUUUGCUUGGAAUUAUAGGGCAUAGGGGAAUCAAAUUGGAAUUUUUAAGUGCCCUUGUUCUAUUUUUCACUCCUAUAUGAAGUUCUGUCAUUUGGUUUGUCAGUGAGGAUGCAAAAAUUCCUGUAUUUCCUUUCAGAAUGCGAGAGGCUCUCCUGUCAUGCCAAUAUCUCCUCACGUUAUGGAGAAAAGAGGUGAUCAUUGCAAUUAGAAUUAUUUUCUUAGGCUGUUCCUCAGAUGCGAUGAUGUGUUGCAUGGUCAACCAUAUUGCUGAAGAGCCUUGAGGAGUUGGGAGGAAGAAUAGGCCAUUUGAUGUGUUUUAUAAACCUUGGGACUUUAGGAUUGAAAAAAUUUAAAACAAGGCCGGGCGCGGUGGCUCACGCCUGUAAUCCCAGCACUUUGGGAGGCAGAGGCGGGCAGAUCACGAGGUCAGGAGUUUGAGACCAGCCUGGCCAACAUGGAGAAAUCCUGUCGCUCCUAAAAAUACAAAAAUUAGCUGGCCGUGGUGGUGGGCGUCUGUAAUCCCAGUUACUCAGGAGGCUGAGGCAGGAGAAUCACUUGAACCCAGGAGGCAGAGGUUGCAGUGAGCCAAGAUCAUGCCACUGCACUCCAGCCUGGGCAACAAGAAUGAAACUCUGUCUCAAAAAAAAAAAAAGAAAAAAUUUAAAAUAGAAAGCCCUUCCUCAGUUGAUCAGAAAUAGGGAAAUAAUGUGUUGGACAAAUAGUCAUCAGAAGACUACUCUUACAUACAUGCUACAGCUGUUAGUUCAGAUCAAUGAACUCACUUAAUUUGGGCUGGAGUUCUAUUCUUUCAGUGACAUUUGCAAUUUUUGCAGCAUUUAUAAUAUUUGUAACGUAGACAUACUAGAAAAAUAAUUAAUAAUAGUGUGAACAACUGAGAGGUCCUUUCAGGUAAAGACAAUGAAGAAAGGAAACAAUCUAUCAUAGAAAAAAACCUUGAACUUGUAUUUUGAUAGUCUUAUGACUAAUCUAAUAAUUUUCCUCCCCCCUUUGUUUGUUUGUAUUUGUACCUUACGAUUUUUUUAGUGUAUUUCACUUAGAACUGUAACUAAUUGAUGAUUUAUCUAAUUGCUCUUCUAGCCAUUCAUUUUUUUGCUGGAAAUACAACUUGAGGUGAACUGAGUUUCAAUUUUCAAAAUUUUUUAUUAUCAAUGUCAUAAUAAUGUCACAUAUCAUAAUCUUCAGUGUUAUACUUGUCCUAAAAGUAACUUCUCUAUGAACUCCAUAUUGCACCAAAUGGCAGUAUAAUUUAAAUCAAAUAUUGUCUGGUUGCAAACUUAAUUGCUGCUACCUAUCUCACCCUAACUUGGAACACCCAACAUAUUUGGAUUCACAACCUGUACCUAAAUUGCACUUCUGCUAUAAUUGUUCAAUGGCAACAACAUGUUUGGUGGAUAAAACAGCACUGGCCAACUAAGGUAAAAAUGAGAAUGGUUAUAAUCUCAUUUUUUUCCUUUCCCAACAAAAACAUUCUUUUCCCAUAUACCACAUAUUAUUUUGUUUUGUUUUUGAGACAGGGUCUUGCUCUGUUGCCCAGGCUGGAGUGCAGUGGUGUGAUCAUGGCUCACUGCAGCCUCGACCUCCCAGGCUCAAGUGAUCCUACCACCUCAGCUUCCCGAGUAGCUGAGGCUACAGGCAUGGGCCAACACCCCCAGCUAAUUUUUUUUUUUUUUUUUUUAGAGAUGAGGUCUUAUUAUGUCGCCUGGGCUCCAUAUAUUAUUUUGAAUAGGGGUAGAAAUUAGAGGUCAUGUUUCCAUGAUUUCAGGAUUCCAAAUCUAACAGGGACAGUACUAGUCUCCCUGAAUGUGUUUACAAUCUAGAACUGAAAUUGGAUUCCAAGUAUUAUUAUUUAAUAUGGUCCAUCAACUGCCCAUUGGGAGAAUGUAGGUAUUGUUAAAAUAAUCCCUGUUCCUGCUAACUGUACUAUGUAAUAGGUCUGGUGACUACAUAUAUGGGGUGCUGUAUUAGUGUGUUCUCAUGUUGCUAAUAAAGACAUACCCAAGACUGGGUAAUUUAUAAAGAAAAAGUGGUUUAAUGGACUCACAGUUCCACAUGGCUGGGGCGACCUCAUAAUCAUGGCGGAAGACAAAGGAAGAGCAAAGUGAUGUCUGACAUGGUGGCAGGCAAGAGGGCUUGUGCAGGGGAACUCCCAUUCAUAAAACCAUCAGAUCUCAUGAGACUUAUUCACUAUCACAAGAACAGUAUGGGGGAAACCUACCCCUGUGAUUCAAUUACCUCUCACCAGCUCCAUCUCAGGACCUGUGAGGAUUAUGGGAAUUACAAUUCAGGAUGAGAUUUGGGAGGGGACACAGCCAAACCAUAUCCGGUGCUAAAGCUGUAGAGUGCAGCAAAUUAGGCUACACACCCUGGUAGUAAUUUUCCAGGAAGAAGAGGAUUUUUUUCCAUAAAUGCACACCUUGUGCUUCUGUAUCCAAAAUGGUUGGCCAUGUUUUAGAGGCUUUUGCUUCCAUUUGUAUUAGCAUGGUCAAUAAACCUUGCUGAGUUUGGAUGUAUGCUCUCUCAUCGCUAGGUUUUGGUAUGGUCCCUCAUUAGUUGAGCAGUUUGACUUAUCCACUUAGCAACAGUGUCAUUAUCUUUCCAUGCAGCUUCCUGAUCCUUACUUUCCUCAUGAAAGAGUAUUUCUUCUAAUCUAUUUUGAUUGGUAAGUAUCAACUUUUCUUGUGAAUGUCUUUUUUCAUAAAAUACAUUUUUAUCUUGUCCUAAUAUCACAAGUUAUUCCCCUGUUGCACCUAAGUUUCUUUUUACCUUAGUUGGCUAGUGCUGUUUUAUCCACCAAACAUGUUGUUGCCAUUGAACAAUUAUAGCAGAAGUGCAAUUUAGGUACAGAUUGUGAAACCAAAUAUGUUUGGUGUUCCAAGUUAGGGUGAGAUAUGUAGCAGUUACCCCUAGAUAUAGUUUAGUUUGGGUAUACCAUAAGGCUUUUCACAUUCUCCCUGGUUGAAUUCCCAAAUUAUCCUCCGGCGGUAUUCUUAUCCACUAACUGGAUGAGGAUACCACUGGAGAAUACCAUUUCCACACUGCUAUAAAGAAUACCUGAGAUGGGGUAACUUAUAAAGAAAAGAGGUUUAAUUGACUCAUGGUUCCACAUGACUGCGGAGGCCUCAGGAAACUUACAAUCAUGACAGAAGCCAAAGGGAAAGCAAGGCACAUCUUACAUAGUGGUAGGAGAGAGAGAGAGAGAAAGAGUGAGGAAGUGCCACACUUAAACCCAUUAGCAAUCUUGAGAACUCCCUCACUAUCAUGAGAACAGCAUGGGGAAACCACCCCCAUGAUCCAAUCACCUCCCAUCAGGUCUCUCCCUCCACAGGUGGGGAUUACAAUUCAAGAUGAGAUUUGGGUAGGGACACAGGCCAAACCAUAUCACCGAGUAAUUCCCAUUGUAUGAUUCCAAGUUUCAUUAGAAUGUUUCAUAGACCUACAGCCACAAAAACAAAGCCUCUGACCUCUAGGGCAAGAGACACUGUGGCAAGGCACAAAAGCUGCAACUGUUUUCAAUUAUCUCAAGGACUUCAGGUAGUAAUUGAUCAUCUAGAUUCACAGUCAUGCAGUGAGCUAUUAGUAAAGUAUUAAAAACUGCCCAACCAGGCAUCGAAUUGAGAAGAAUUUUCUGGAUGUAUUUCUUUAAAUAAGGUCCCUAAUAGUAUAUUAUGCCUGAAAAGAAGGUGCCAUAGGCUAUAGGAACAUCGAACUGAUUCUAAGAAGUCAACAUCAGAGUUCCAAUAUCCUCCUGAUAUUGAAAAAGGUUUGUUCUACUUCCAUAUAAAUUAGAUGAGUGAUUUCCCAAUAAGAGAAAUGGGGAUCAAACAAAGGAGAGGAUGUUACUAGAUACUCAUUAUCGUGACAGGAAAAUGCAAAAACAAAAGGUAUAUGCAGAAGAAAAUCAUCAUGAAUACACACCUGGUCUGGUAUCUUGGGAAAUGCUGUCUACUCAGAUGUCUCCUUCCCACCUUCAGAGGAGUCAGAAAUCUUAGAGAUCUUUAAUUGGAGGUCUCUGGUGGACUUAGAAGUCCAUUUAGGUGUUGGAGCUUUUCUUAACUUAGAAAUGUGAAUCCAGGAGUCAACUCCUUCAAGUUUAGCUUCACAGUGAUUAGUCAACAAUACCUGAUAAACUCCUUUCCAAUGAGGUUGAAGCGAGACUUUUAGUUGAUGUCUUUUUCAAUCAACAGAGUCACCUGGCUAGAGAUCUUGGUAUUUGAGAUCUUCAUCUUCUGGGAGCACAGUGUUAAAAUCAGUUUUAUUGAUUUUUUUUUGAAAAGACGUUUAGUUAAGCCUUGACAAUAAUGGAGUAUAUCUCCUUUCAGUAAAGUUGGUUUAUAUAAACCACCAUCCAAUUUCAUAGGUCACCCUGUAAUUAUCUUAUGAGAUAAUUGAUGUUUUCUGAAAGGAGUUGCUCUUAGGUUGAGUGAAACCAAUGGAAGAGCCUUGGGCCACAUAAUAGGAAAAGCUUUCAUUAAUUUUUCCAGCUGGGUUAUUAUUAUUUCAUUUCUCCAUUCCACCAAUUCAGAAGACUGUGGAUGGUAAGCAAAACGAAAAUGUUGGAAAAUGAGCCAGAUUUUACAAAUGGAGUGGAUAAUCUCUCCAGUAAAAUGAGUCCCCUAUUGCGAUGUAAUUUGGAAGGAAUUCCCCAAGAGGGAAUUACCCACAGCAACACAUAUUAUUCUACUGUUUGUGCCAUGACUCUUCUGCAAGGAAAUGCUUCAGUCUGAUGAGUGAACAUAUAAAUCAUAACCAGCACGUAUUUAUAACCCUGGGCUGGAGGUAAUUGGAUAAAAUUCAUUUGCCAUAUAUUGAAAGGUCCAGUGGGCAAAGGGAAAUGCCCUUGAAAUCUGUGAAGACACUUUCCUGGAUUAGGUUUAGGACAAAUUGGACAUUUAGCAUAAAGUCUAUGUGCUAUUGUGGGUGAGGAUUCCCAAUAAUAAUUGUUUUCCCUGGGCAAUCAUUUUUUCAGGCCCCCAGUGAGUGAGCUCAUAGACAUGUUGUGACAUAGAAAAUUGAAAUCCCAAAGGCAAAACUAGUCUGUCUUUGGGUCCAUACCAUAAUUUGCAAGUGGAGAAAAAGCACCGCCAUUUUUGUUAGCUAUAUCUGCUUUCCCCUCUCUGAAGGCUUUUCUUGAGCCUCUUGGAGUUCCUUUUCAAUGGAGUGCAUUUUAAAUAUAGCCACCUCUCUAGUUUUAUUUGAUAUCAGUGUUAAUGCAGACUUUUUUGCUGUUGAAUCAGCAAAAUGAUUUCCUUUACUCUCUGGAGAGUGAAGUUGGAAAUGUCCAGGGCUAUUAUAAAUGGGCUUGAUAAUAGUCCAUUAUUUUUGUUGUUGUUGUUAAUUGGAUGGCUUCUAAAUGAUCAGAGACUUGAGAGCCACGAUAAUAGGGCGUCUGGAGGAGGUUGCUAUUUCCACAACAUUCCAAAAUCAUGAGCUACACCCAAAGCAGAAUAGCUGUCAACGUAAACAUUAGCCAUUUGAUUUUUGGCCACUUGACAAGCUCUGGCGAACCCUAUUAACUCAGCUAACUGUGCUGAUUCUACUGUAGGCAAGGGAUUGCUCUCUAUAAUGUCCACAAGAGACACAAUGGCCUAGCCUGCUCAUUAUUUUCCAAAUUCAUCCUUUAGAUACGAUCCGUCUGUGAACCAGAUAACAUCAGCAUUUUACAGCAGUGUCUCCUGUAAAUCCUGUCUGGGCAUCAAAAGCUAUUCUGUUAGUAAAAUACAGUCAUGACGUAUUUCAUCAGUUGUUUCAGGAAGUAAUGUUGUGGGAUUAAGAGAAUUACAGUAAGGGAGGAUAAUAUGUGUAGCAGAGAGUAAAAGUACUUUAUAAGAAGCUAAUCUGUUAACAGAAAAGUGUUGCAUGUAUUGUGAAUUUAAAAGAGUUUCUGCAGAAUGAGGUACAUAUACAGUCAAAGGAGCCUGCAUUACUGUUGCCUGAGUGGCCUUAAGGAGCUUGCGGCUACGGAAAUAGACCUCAGACAAGGGGGCAGCACAUGCGCUAUGGUGUGUCACUGCUGACUAUAAUGGUCAAUAGGUCUAUCUUGUCAGAUAGACAAGAUAGAAUAUCUUGUGUUUUUGGGUCAGAAUACCCAGGGUACUAUCAUGUUUUUUAUAAACAAAAGGGAAAAAUGACAGCUGAUAAUUUAGAUGGCCCAAAGCAGGGGCCCUUCUAAAAUCUUCCUUUAUUUCUUGAAUUGGUAUGUGUCCUUCUGAUGUCCACUGUAUAGAAUCAAGUUGAUCUUCUUUUAACAAUGUAUAUAAAGGCUGUGCCAUGAGAGAAAAAUUGGUGAUCCACCUACAGCAGUAACCAGUUAAGUUUAAGAAUCCCGGAGCUACUUUUUAGCUUUUGGAGUGAGGUAUGCAAGAAUUCCAGUAACUCGAUCCAGAUUUAUAUGUUGUCCCUCUUUAGAAAUUAAAUGUCCCAAAUGUUUUACUUCCAUUAAGCAAAAUAAGAGUUUUUCUGUACACACUUUGUGUUCUCUGUUUGCUAAUUGUUCUAGCAAGUAAAGGGAGUUGUUUUUACAGUCAUGCAGACUAAAGGAGCAAAACAAGAGAUUAUCCACAUACUGAAGUAGAGUGGAAUUUCCUUAAACAUUUAGCUCAUCCAGGCCAGCCCUUAACAUUUGUGGAAAAUAAGUUGGGCUUUCAGUAUGACCUUGAGUCAUAACAGUCCAGAUGGACUGGUGUCCCAGGUAAAGGCAAACAAGUAUUGACUGUCAGGAUCAACUGAUAUUUUAAAAAGCACUGCAUAAAUCAAUUGCAGUGAAAUAUUUACUGCUUACAUGUAUAUUAGAUAAAAGAGUGUGGGGGUUUGGAAUUACUGGGUAACAAGGAAUGACAAUAUUUUUAAUGGCUCUCAAAUCUUGUAUGAAUCUCCAUCCUUUCCCAUUAGGUUUUUGUACUAGAAGGAUGGGAGUAUUACAAGGACUGGUGCAAGGAAUAAUCAUUUUUUUAAUCAAUGAAAUCUUCGAUUAUUUGUUUUAUUCCUAUUAUGGCUUCCUGUUUUAAUGAAUAUGAUUUAAUAUUGGGAAGUGGCUUAUUUGAAUCCAUCUGUAUCCAUAUUGGAGUGGCUAUUAAAUUUUUCCCUAUGUCAGUAGACAACUGGGACCAUAAACAACCAGGGAUUUGGCAUAAUAAAGCAUCAAGUUCUUUUUUGUCUUACUACUUUAUGAAUUUUGAUGAUCAUUUGAUCUAUCAUUUGAUCUAAACUUCCUGAUUUAUCAUAUUCAGUCAAUGCUCUUUCAGCCAUUUUCUUUUUCUUUUUUUUUUUUUUUUUUUGACACGGAGUCUCGCUCUGUCGCCCAGGCUGGAGUGCAGUGGCAUAAUCUCGGCUCACUGCAAGCUCCGCUACAGCCAUUUUCAAAAACAUUUCUCCUCUCUUUGAAAAGGAAAUAUGAACAUUAUAAAGCUCCAGAAAAUCUCUUCCUAUAAGAUGUACUGGUGCAAAGGGCACCAAAAGAAAAGAAUGUCCAUCUAAAUGACCUAAUUGGAAAGGGAAAAGUUUUUAUUUGUAUAUAGUCAUUGGUUGAUUAUCUAAUCAACCCUAUCAUUUGAACAAUUUGAUUACUUCAAGGAAGAGGGCUCUUUAAAAAGAUAGGGUUGAGAACAGAAAGGAUAGAUCCUGUGUCAACUAAUGCCUUCGUUUUUUCUCCAUUUAUAUAUAGUUCCACUUGCCCCAGAGUGUUGCUUAAAAGACAGGGGAAGGCCCUCUUUAUCUCCUUAGAGUCUCCCUAUUCCUUUUCUCCUUUCUCUUUUUCUUUCUGUUUCUGUACCCAUUUCAACUUUCUGCAAUUUUUCUUUAGAUGUAUUAUUUUCUUGCAAUAAUAAUAGACAUCUUUAGAUGUUUAUGGGACUCCCUUUUGAAAGAGAGACUUCUGUUUAGAUCAGAUAAAUUCACCAGUACAUUGUUGAUGCUGUAAAUUCAUGAUUUUAGUGGCUUUUUAAUCUUCCUUCUGCUGUAUAACUCUAGCCAGUUUACCAGCAAGAUUCUGUAGUUCUGAAGUGUGCACAGAAUCCCAAUUUAUUUGGUGCAAUUUGACCAUCUUGGCCAAUUGCUCAUCAAGUCCAUGAAAGAAGAUUGAAUUUAAUAAAGAAUCAUUCUGAUAGUCCCUUAGACUUUCUUUAUUCAUUCCCAAAUAUUAUUUAAAAUCCCUCUCAGAUAUUUCAAAAUAGUCCAGCACAGUCGCAUUUGCUCUUUGUUUACAUUGCUGGUCUUUAGAGGAGGCAGUGGUCUUAGGAAAUAUCUGGGAAAUUACUUGUGCUACACGAUUUGCUAUUUCCCGAGUUCUUUCUUGGUCUUCGGCUUUUUCUUUAUGAAAAUUGCUUAAUGAAUCCUUCCAGUCAGCCUUUGAUAAUGAUUCCCUCACUUUUUUUUUUUUUUUUUUUUUUUUUUCAGAUACUAACAUGUGAACCAGCUGAUACACAUCUGAAGAGCCAG